Molecule: ribosomal RNA, 253 nt
Filed under: uncultured bacterium
Lineage: Bacteria
Description: partial 16S ribosomal RNA
Rfam family: Bacterial small subunit ribosomal RNA
Source: RNAcentral
UACAGAGGGGGCAAGCGUUGUUCGGAAUUAUUGGGCGUAAAGAGCUCGUAGGCGGUCUGUUGCGUCGGCUGUGAAAACCCGGGGCUCAACUCCGGGCCUGCAGCCGAUACGGGCAGACUAGAGUUCGGCAGGGGAGACUGGAAUUCCUGGUGUAGCGGUGAAAUGCGCAGAUAUCAGGAGGAACACCAAUGGCGAAGGCAGAUCUCUGGGCCGUAACUGACGCUGAGGAGCGAAAGCAUGGGGAGCGAACAGG